Molecule: long non-coding RNA, 231 nt
Filed under: Lathyrus oleraceus (garden pea)
Lineage: Eukaryota; Viridiplantae; Streptophyta; Magnoliopsida; Fabales; Fabaceae
Description: Pisum sativum (pea) long non-coding RNA (PSAT_LNC027072)
Source: RNAcentral
AAGUUUAUCCUGGUUUGCUUGAAACUCAAAGGUACUCCAGUCCACUCGGCCAAGGUGAUUUCGCCUUUAACAAGGACUUAAUCCACUAAUCUUGAAAGAUUACACAAAAAAACAUCUAAGAAGAUAAAGAUCUCUUAGCCCUCUCAAGUUUACAGACUUCACAAGUCACUUGAGGAGAUAUUCAACAACUAUUUGAAAGAUACAGUGAAGUGUUUAGUACUUCUAGGUAAG